UGCCGAAUGGUGUAACGGUAGCACUAGUGACUCUGACUCACUUAGUCUAGGUUCGAAUCCUAGUUCGGCAACCA
This 74-nucleotide transfer RNA is filed under the name Gammaproteobacteria bacterium. RNAcentral describes it as "tRNA-Gln". It matches the Rfam family "tRNA". From Rfam's summary of the family: Transfer RNA (tRNA) molecules are approximately 80 nucleotides in length. Their secondary structure includes four short double-helical elements and three loops (D, anti-codon, and T loops). Lineage: Bacteria; Pseudomonadati; Pseudomonadota; Gammaproteobacteria. RNAcentral also lists the same sequence under 1 other name. The record is from RNAcentral.